AACCGCGGUUAUACGAGAGGCCCCAGUUGAUAGUCUCACGGCGUAAAGUGUGGUUAAGGAUGAAAAACAACUAAAGCUAAAAACACCCUAGGCCGUAAUACGCACCUGGGGCAUGAAGUCCCACUACGAAAGUAGCUUUAUGCAAGCCCACCCAACCCACGACAGCCAAGGCA
Molecule: ribosomal RNA, 173 nt
Filed under: Photostylus sp. CBM:ZF:15590
Lineage: Eukaryota; Metazoa; Chordata; Actinopteri; Alepocephaliformes; Alepocephalidae
Description: partial 12S rRNA
Source: RNAcentral